Hemicordylus capensis (graceful crag lizard) is the source of this 782-nucleotide long non-coding RNA. RefSeq lists it as uncharacterized. Lineage: Eukaryota; Metazoa; Chordata; Lepidosauria; Squamata; Cordylidae. The transcript has 2 exons. The record is from RefSeq and is a predicted model, not a curated record.
CAGCACAGAUAGGCUUUGGCCAGCCUGAGGAGUGAGUUAUUUAUGCUGAUGAAGCUAAUUUUGCGAAACGGCUUUUUUGAAUAUCUGGAGAGAGCCGUAUGCUUGAUUGGAUACGCAUAUCUCUACAUAUGAAGUUUGCAUUCUUCUACAAUGGCAUGUGGAGGCUGAGUCUGAAAUUUAUGGAACCUACAUUCUACUGAGGCUAUAUUUACAGCUGGACUCUUCUUCGGAACUUGUAUUUCUCCUCCUUUGCAGGGAUGCUUUUGAGACCACGCCACUCACAAUAUCAUCUGGCAACCGUGCUCAGACAUUACUUUCCUUUUGUCCCUCAGUACGGGCUGUUAUUGGUUUCUAAUUGUUCAUUGUUAUUCUGUUAUUGUAUUUUCUUGGUAAUUGUUUUAGGUUUUUCAUUUCUUCAUGCUUUUUGAGUUUUACAGAUGUUUACAGGUUUGAGGUUAUUUACUUCAGUUUUCUAGUUUUUGAGUUCUUUUUGUCAUUCUUGGUCCUUUAAGGUUUUUUUUAAUGUCAGCCAGUUAGGGAUAGUUUACUUAGAUCCCUGCCUACCUCAUUUAGUUCUUUAGCAGCCCCACGUUUGCCUUGUUUAGGAGUACCUCUACUAGAUGGUUAUGACCAUUAUUAUUUAUAUUUGACCAAUAUCAAUUGGUUUUCAUUAUAAGUGGUUAUUUAUGGUUCAGUUAUUAAGUUUCUUACCAUUGUCUCAUUGGCUAUCAGUAUAUAUUUUCAGUAUAUAUUGUUUAUUGCAAUAUAUGAUCUUUUAUACA